ACAGAGGGCCCGAGCGUUAAUCGGAAUCACUGGGCUUAAAGCGUACGUAGGCGGACUUGAAGGCAUCUUGUGAAAUCCCUCGGCUCAACCGGGGAAUUGCAGGGUGAACCACAAGUCUUGAGGCGAGUAGAGGCGGUCGGAACGAUAGGUGGAGCGGUGAAAUGCGUAGAUAUCUAUCGGAACGCCAAAGGUGAAGACAGGCCGCUAGGCUCGUCCUGACGCUGAGGUACGAAAGCAUGGGUAGCGAACGGG
This 252-nucleotide ribosomal RNA is filed under the name uncultured bacterium. RNAcentral's name for it is "partial 16S ribosomal RNA". It matches the Rfam family "Bacterial small subunit ribosomal RNA", at positions 525 to 776 of the family's 1533-position model. The record is from RNAcentral.